Molecule: ribosomal RNA, 474 nt
Filed under: uncultured bacterium
Lineage: Bacteria
Description: bacterial SSU rRNA
Rfam family: Bacterial small subunit ribosomal RNA
Source: RNAcentral
AGCGGCAGGCUUAACACAUGCAAGUCGAGGGGCAGCACGGGUGGCAAUACCUGGUGGCGACCGGCGCAAGGGUGCGUAACGCGUGAGCAACAUGCCCUAUACAGGGGGAUAAUCCAGGGAAACUUGGUCUAAUAUCCCAUAGUAUUUAGAGGAGGCAUCUUCUAUAAAUUAAAGCUUCGGUGGUAUAGGAUUGGCUCGCGUGACAUUAGCUAGAUGGUGAGGUAACGGCUCACCAUGGCAAUGAUGUCUAGGGGUUCUGAGAGGAAGGCCCCCCACACUGGGACUGAGACACGGCCCAGACUCCUACGGGAGGCAGCAGUGAGGAAUAUUGGACAAUGGAUGGAAAUCUGAUCCAGCCAUGCCGCGUGCAGGAAGACAGCCCUAUGGGUUGUAAACUGCUUUUAUAUGGGAGCAAUAAGGUCUACGUGUAGACUGAUGAGAGUACCAUAUGAAUAAGCAUCGGCUAACUCCGUG